This 253-nucleotide ribosomal RNA is filed under the name uncultured bacterium. RNAcentral describes it as "partial 16S ribosomal RNA". It matches the Rfam family "Bacterial small subunit ribosomal RNA", at positions 524 to 776 of the family's 1533-position model. The record is from RNAcentral.
UACGGAGGGUGCAAGCGUUAUCCGGAUUCACUGGGUUUAAAGGGUGCGUAGGCGGGCAGGUAAGUCAGUGGUGAAAUCUUCGAGCUUAACUCGGAAACUGCCGUUGAUACUAUCUGUCUUGAAUCCCGUGGAGAUGAGCGGAAUACGUCAUGUAGCGGUGAAAUGCUUAGAUAUGACAUAGAACACCAAUUGCGAAGGCAGCUCACUACACGAAUAUUGACACUGAGGCACGAAAGCGUGGGGAUCAAACAGG